Molecule: long non-coding RNA, 1917 nt
Organism: Amphiprion ocellaris (clown anemonefish)
Lineage: Eukaryota; Metazoa; Chordata; Actinopteri; Pomacentridae
Source: Ensembl
GUUUGGAUAAGACUGACAGAAAUGAUGGCAGGGGCCGUCGAUGAGUUUUUACCUACUUUUGCUGAACUUUUUUUCCAGGUGUCUUCAUAACAGCAGCCACUUUCAGCUGCAUCACAUGGACAUGUGAGUUGUUAUGAGAACUGUCAGGAUAGUUUAGAAAGACCUGCUUUUCAGUGGCAAAAUAAUUCGGACAAAAAGAAAAUUCACUAGAAGUGAGUGAUGAUCCAUAUUUAAGAUGGAACUGACAGUGAGUCUAGUUUUGCAGAUGACUGAAGAAAGCCAUGUACUUUUAAGAAUUGCUGCCUCAUGUCCAAAAGAUGUCACUGCACUAUUCCUUAAUCAUUUAAUGUUGUAAUAUUGUGGCUUUACAGAAAAGCAAUUCAAACCAAAGUACAGUGUAUUGUUUUGUUGUUUUUUUUUAAACAAAGUACAAAGCAAUUAUGUUUCAUUUGGAAACAUUUCAAAAUGUUUGAGUUUAAUUAAACAUUUUAUUUUGCAUGUACUGUAUGUGCAAGCUUAAAGGGUCUAUUCAUACAAAGCGCACCAAAAUAUUCUAUCACUUUCCAUUACUUUUGUGCUGCCAUUGGUUUUAUCUGUUUUAUUAUCUUUACUACUAUCUAGACUUCUGCUCUCACCUACAAGCAAUGAAGGUGAAUGCAGUUUUGCUUGUGGUUCUGACCACGUGUCUUCCAGAAACCGUGGUUGCGGUCGAAUGAUUAGAAAAAAAGUUCUCCUGUCUUUUUCUGAAAUGCUUUUCCUUGAUCUUGAUGGAAAAAGUCAUGAAGUCAAGAAAAGCAGGAGAAUUCGCACGGACUUGGGAAAUACAACCAUGGUGCUGCGAGGAUUGGAUCGGACUUAAUUUUGCAACGCCGGAUGUUUUUGACUGGGAUCUGCUGUGGUGAGAAUACAAUGUUCUGAAGAUGGACUAUUUAAAGCACAUUUUCGAUACUGCGGGUCAUGUGUUCGUAUCUUUCAUGAAGAUACAACAAUCCAAUGACAAAUAUUACGUCAUUCCCAAGGAUGGACUUAAAAUCACAGAAGGAAUUUAAAUCUCAAGUGAUCUAAAAUGGUUGUGACGUUGACAGUGGUUGCUUACACUCACCCUUCUGUCCACAUAUAUUUAUCACCAUGAAUUCCAGUAAUUAAGUGUGAUUGUAUGAAAACGAUUUAUGCAAGACAUAAUUGGUAAUGACUACAAAUCAGCUGCUGUACAUAUCAGACUUACAUUGCAAUCGUAGUGAAUUAUCUGAAUAAAAGUGACCCACAUCUGUUUUCCUUGAAAGACAGACUCCUUUGUCAUGGUUAAUCAAAGAUAUAUAACAGAUUCUGAUCUGAUUGUAAACCUAUGCACAUAAAGGAUUCAAAAUCACCUCACAACUUGGUGAAGACCUGGAAUGGUCUGUCGCUGCAAGGAAUUAUGGGGCAGAAUUAUCUCUGUUGUGAAGGAUGGUCUAAUAUGUUCUACACUAAAGGAGACUUCAAACAGUAAAAGCACCUUUACUUAUAAUUUAGAAAAUUCACCCAGCUCCUAUCACGGCUGCCAUUUCUGGGUUAUUUCACUCAGUUAAAACCCUCCUAAGAAAAAAAAAAGACUUCAACUGCAACCAGUGUCCUAGUUCCUCAGGAUCAUCCAUAGACCUCACUGUUUUUCUGCAGUUUCUCGGUGACAACUCUGAGAUUGUUUGCAUGGCUCGAUGUACCCAGAGAUAAGUGGACAAAUAUUAAUGUUUUGUGAUGUGAGUGAAGCAACCCUUCAAACCACGCUGUUAAUUAAUGCAUAGCCUUGUUUAAAAUAAGUAUAAGACUGUUUCCCUCAUCGAGUCUCCAGAAGGAAUUUUGUAAAAAAAUUACCUGUUGAAAAUGCUGUCGCCCUGUAAUUCAGUAUGUGAGUUAUGUAAGAAACAUUAAAGUGUAAAA